GGGGCGACAGAGAGCCCUUGAAGGGGCGCAGCGGGCAGGUUCGGACCCGCGGGAGAUCACGCAGCGAGUCUGCGCUCUGAGCCGCCACCUCCGAGCAGUGGCCGGAUUGCCGCCUUACAGGGAGCCACUCGGCGCAAGGACCUACCCAGCGCCGGCUCGCUCUCGAUCAGAGGAAUUUCUACAGGUCCGCACUGAGGCCGGCGAGCUCGCCUACUCUUCUCGGCCCACUCCGUUGUGCCCGGCUUGCGAAGAUGUCCGCCAAGCCCGACGCCGGCUUCGUGAAAGAGGCUUCUCGCCAGAUCCUGGCCGGUGGUUCCGCUGGUCUUGUAGAAAUUUGCCUGAUGCACCCCCUCGAUGUGGUGAAAACCAGGUUCCAGAUUCAGAGAUGUGCAACUGAUCCAAACAGUUACAAAAGCUUGGGAGACAGCUUUCGAACAAUUUUCCGAAUAGAAGGGUAUGUAUG
This is a non-coding RNA of Leptonychotes weddellii (Weddell seal), 463 nucleotides long. Lineage: Eukaryota; Metazoa; Chordata; Mammalia; Carnivora; Phocidae. The record is from RefSeq and is a predicted model, not a curated record.